CUUUGCUGGCGACCGGCGCACGGGUGAGUAACACGUAUCCAACCUGCCGAUAACUCGGGGAUAGCCUUUCGAAAGAAAGAUUAAUACCCGAUGGUAUAAUCAGACCGCAUGGUUUGAUUAUUAAAGAAUUUCGGUUAUCGAUGGGGAUGCGUUCCAUUAGGCAGUUGGUGAGGUAACGGCUCACCAAACCUUCGAUGGAUAGGGGUUCUGAGAGGAAGGUCCCCCACAUUGGAACUGAGACACGGUCCAA
RNAcentral lists this ribosomal RNA (250 nucleotides) under uncultured bacterium. RNAcentral describes it as "partial 16S ribosomal RNA". It matches the Rfam family "Bacterial small subunit ribosomal RNA", at positions 83 to 334 of the family's 1533-position model. The record is from RNAcentral.